Molecule: ribosomal RNA, 535 nt
Filed under: Phyllosticta capitalensis
Lineage: Eukaryota; Fungi; Ascomycota; Dothideomycetes; Botryosphaeriales; Phyllostictaceae
Description: partial large subunit ribosomal RNA
Rfam family: Eukaryotic large subunit ribosomal RNA
Source: RNAcentral
CGGCAAUAGCUCAAAUUUGAAAGCUGGCGUCUUCGACGUCCGCGUUGUAAUUUGUAGAGGAUGCUUCGGCGAAGACUCCUGCCUAAGUCCCCUGGAACGGGGCGUCAUAGAGGGUGAGAAUCCCGUAUGUGGCGGGCAGUCUAAGCCAUGUGAAGCUCCUUCGACGAGUCGAGUUGUUUGGGAAUGCAGCUCUAAAUGGGAGGUAAAUUUCUUCUAAAGCUAAAUAUUGGCCAGAGACCGAUAGCGCACAAGUAGAGUGAUCGAAAGAUGAAAAGCACUUUGGAAAGAGAGUUAAAAAGUACGUGAAAUUGUUGAAAGGGAAGCGCUUGCAACCAGACUCGCUCGUAGUUGCUCAGCCGGCCUCUUGGCCGGUGUACUCUUCUACGAUCGGGCCAGCAUCAGUUCGGGCGGCAGGAUAAAGGUGUCGGGAAUGUAGCACCCUUCGGGGUGUGUUAUAGCCCGGCGCGGAAUGCUGCCAGCCUGGACUGAGGAUCUCGCUUCGGCAAGGAUGCUGGCGUAAUGGUUGUAAGCGGCC